Aegilops tauschii subsp. strangulata is the source of this 943-nucleotide long non-coding RNA. RefSeq lists it as uncharacterized. NCBI's taxonomy places the organism in Eukaryota, Viridiplantae, Streptophyta, Magnoliopsida, Poales, Poaceae. The record is from RefSeq and is a predicted model, not a curated record.
CAAAAAAAUUCGCGGCGACUCUUCAUUAUGCCUCCCCGCACCUCACACCCUCAUCGCAUCCAACCAAUCCCGAUCUCAGGCAAAACCUAGAUGUGCCGUCGUCAUCGAGAGAGAGCAGUCUCCUAGGUCAUGCCCACCUCCAAGAUCCCACCCCUAUCGCCCUCUCUCCUCUCACGGCCCUAGUGUCGCAUCUCUUCCUGACCGAUAGUGCCGGUGGUCUGCCCAUCUAGCAGUGGUCGGCGUCAAUCCCUUUAUCAUCGCCGAGCAUGCACGCGGCGCCCUCGGCGAUGCCCCCGCCGCAGUCACCGAGAUGGAUCCCACGCCAGGGUUCCAGGUUCUGUUGGUGAGGGCCGAACUUCACCGCCGUGUCAGUGAUGGCAGCGAACCAGUCUUGUGACAUCUUCCUAGGAGUGCUCCAAAUCUCCCAACUGCUUCGCUUGUUGGCUGACUCCUCGUCCUCCACCUCAACAGCCAGAUACAGGCAAGCAAGCAGCAAGACGGCCUCAAAGCUUCAAUCUCUGUUGCUGGUCCCUUCGCCAUCUGAUCAACCAAACACCUAUUGUCUUCCGCCUCCUGGACGACCUGAUAGGGGCUGCAACGAGGCUCCAGAGUCUCCACCAAUUUUGCUCCUCUUCGUCCUUGCUGAAUGAUGCUUCAUCGCAUAUCAUUUUUGGUGCUAGAAUUUGUGGUUGUUCCAUAGUCGAUCAAGCCAUGUAUCAGUGCUUAGGUAAUCUUUGUACUGAUAUAUCGAGAAAGCAUCGUGCUUUGCCUAUUCACUUCUAUACAAGCUAAUCUGUAAUUGGCAGUGGUUACUGAAUAUUUUUAUCCCUGUUAGUCAAAGCUAAUAUAAUGUGACUUGCCAACUUUCUGCUGAAUGUAUUGUUGAAAAACAAAUCCAAGGGAAUUAUUAUUUGGCAUCAAAUUAAGGAAUGUCCUGCAUGAA